Molecule: ribosomal RNA, 253 nt
Filed under: uncultured bacterium
Lineage: Bacteria
Description: partial 16S ribosomal RNA
Rfam family: Bacterial small subunit ribosomal RNA
Source: RNAcentral
UACAGAGGGGGCAAGCGUUGUUCGGAAUUACUGGGCGUAAAGGGCGCGUAGGCGGCCGCCUAAGUCAGACGUGAAAUCCCUGGGCUCAACCCAGGAACUGCGUCCAAGACUGGGAGGCUUGAAUCCGGGAGAGGGAUGCGGAAUUCCAGGUGUAGCGGUGAAAUGCGUAGAUAUCUGGAGGAACACCGGUGGCGAAGGCGGCAUCCUGGACCGGUAUUGACACUGAGGCGCGAAAGCCAGGGGAGCAAACGGG